This 22-nucleotide small nuclear RNA is filed under the name Arabidopsis thaliana (thale cress). RNAcentral's name for it is "snRNA_16186". Lineage: Eukaryota; Viridiplantae; Streptophyta; Magnoliopsida; Brassicales; Brassicaceae. The record is from RNAcentral.
ACAUCAAACUUUAAAAUCUAUU